UCUCGAAUAAAACAUUUCACAAUCGAAGAAGGAUAUGAAACGACAACUCAUCACCUUCUUCCCCGCUAUUCACAAAUUCAUAAAAAGACGUUAUCCGAUUAUCGUACCAUAAAAAGAAAGCCGCGGAGCGGCAGGGAUUCAAAGCCACACACGGCCAGUCCCGAAAUACAAACAAGGCCAUUCAAGGCCGAAACAUGAAAACAUAAAAAAAAUCUCUCGCAAGAGAUCUAACCCAAGUCAUCCUCAGAACUUACGCCCCCUCUU
RNAcentral lists this long non-coding RNA (264 nucleotides) under Brassica rapa (field mustard). RNAcentral's name for it is "long non-coding RNA (BRAP_LNC003570)". Lineage: Eukaryota; Viridiplantae; Streptophyta; Magnoliopsida; Brassicales; Brassicaceae. The record is from RNAcentral.